RNAcentral lists this unclassified non-coding RNA (329 nucleotides) under soil metagenome. RNAcentral's name for it is "partial contains 5.8S ribosomal RNA, internal transcribed spacer 2, and large subunit ribosomal RNA". The stretch from base 1 to 120 matches the Rfam family "5.8S ribosomal RNA", at positions 35 to 154 of the family's 154-position model. The record is from RNAcentral.
GAUGAAGAACGUAGCGAAAUGCGAUAAGUAAUGUGAAUUGCAGAAUUCAGUGAACCAUCGAAUCUUUGAACGCACAUUGCGCCCCCUGGUAUUCCGGGGGGCAUGCCUGUCCGAGCGUCAUUACAACCCUCAAGCUCAGCUUGGUGUUGGGCCCCGCCGCCCCGGCGGGCCCUAAAGUCAGUGGCGGUGCCGUCCGGCUCCGAGCGUAGUAAUUCUUCUCGCUCUGGAGGUCCGGUCGUGUGCUCGCCAGCAACCCCCAAUUUUUUUCAGGUUGACCUCGGAUCAGGUAGGGAUACCCGCUGAACUUAAGCAUAUCAAUAAGCGGAGGA